UCAUCUGUUCUCUAGAUCUUGCUAGACCCUCUAAAGGUCAUUGUCGGGCUAGGCAGACCGCUGGAUUGCUGUCCAUGUGCCAGGCAUUACUUUGGCCUCUUGGGGGCCUCCAUUGACUGAGCAGAAAAGAGAGAAACAAGAAUUGGAGGAUAAUUAAGCAUGUACAAAAACAAUGUGAAAUGUUACCACUGGAUGCUGAGGAACAAAUACUUGUUAUGGGCUCAGCACUAUUAGCUGUGUGACACUGGGUCGCAAGCUGAAUAUGGGAAGCAGUAGGUAAGGCAGAAGGUGAGCUUCAGCAAGAGGAAGAAGGCCUGGGGCCAUGGCCACCAGAGCACGUGGAUCCCCACCGAUGACUGGCUGAGGAGGCAUCUAGGGGAAGGGUUGGCUAAUGGCAGGAUAUGAAGAGUAUUUACUUCUGGAUGUUACUUGUCGCUCUGUUGGGACUGAAAGAUAAAUGUCUAGUUAUUAACUCAUUGUCUUCAAGGGACCACGGUUGGCCCCUUUUUCCUUCCCACCAGCCUCCCUACCUCAUUCAACACCACUUCCUUGCUCGUGUUGGAUCGGAACCAGUUACUCAUUUAGUCUUGGUUCCAUUCACAGCUGAACUUCUCUCAUGAUCAUCUGCUGGUUUCAAAUAAGAGCCCCAUCCUAUUCCCAGCCCCCUCAUGGGCACUGCCCAGUCAGGCACUCACCAUCUCACCAUUAUUGCUUGGAAGAGUGAGAUACAACAGGGAACUGAGAGGGAUAUGUCCAGCUGAGGAUGAGACCAGGGAGCAAAUAGGACAGGGGGUGGGGCUCAUAGGCCAAAUGUUCCAAUGGUGGCAGGGAAAGCUCUGGUACUUAUGGAGUCAGAUUACUUCACUGAUGAAUCAUACCACCCAUUUAAGGAAAAAAUUGUAUCAGUUCUACCCAAACUCUUGUAGGCAAUUGAAGGAAUGGGAAUACUUUGUAGGUCAUUCUAUGAGGCUAAUGUUAAUUCUUAAUACAUAGUAAACAAUAAAAAAAGAAAACAAAGACAUUAUAAGAAAGCUACAGACUAAUAUCAUCAUGCAAGGGUUGUAAAAAUUCUUAACAAACUUCCAGCAAAUUAUUUCCAACAAUAUAUAAACACAAUGAUAUAUUAUUGCCAGGAAUGUAAUAUAUUUAUUCCAGGAAUGCAAAGUUGGUUUAAAAUUUGAAAAUCAGUCUAUGUAAUUCACCAUGUUAACAAACUAAAAACAAGAAAACACACACAUACACACAAAACUAAACCAAAAACCAGACCUUAUUUUCAUCUCAAUAGACCAAGAGAAAGCAUUUGCCAAAUUCAAUAGCUAUUUAUGAUAAAAUCUCUCCAUUAACUAGGAACAGAAGGAAACUUCUUCAACCUGAUUAAUGUGUUUAUAAAAAAUCUCUUCUGUUCUCCUUUCCUUUGUAGUCAAGUAGCAUCCAGACCAAUGAAUAGAGUGGACCUAGAAUAAGCUUUUGAGUCAGAAACACUUGAGUUUUCCCACUGCUGUGAACAUGCUCAUGUUAAAUAGCCUCUCUGGGCCAGCAUGUUCUCAUUUGUAACACAGAGAUAAUAAAUAAGUUAUGCCUUGUUACUGCCAGCAUUGCUUG
Long non-coding RNA from Manis pentadactyla (Chinese pangolin), 1602 nucleotides. RefSeq lists it as uncharacterized. The record is from RefSeq and is a predicted model, not a curated record. The transcript has 3 exons. Lineage: Eukaryota; Metazoa; Chordata; Mammalia; Pholidota; Manidae.